RNAcentral lists this ribosomal RNA (468 nucleotides) under uncultured bacterium. Its description in RNAcentral is "partial 16S ribosomal RNA". It matches the Rfam family "Bacterial small subunit ribosomal RNA", at positions 28 to 507 of the family's 1533-position model. The record is from RNAcentral.
GACGAACGCUGGCGGCGUGCUUAACACAUGCAAGUCGAACGGUGAAGCUCCAGCUUGCUGGAGUGGAUCAGUGGCGAACGGGUGAGUAACACGUGAGCAACCUGCCCCUGACUCUGGAAUAAGCGCUGGAAACGGCGUCUAAUACUGGAUACGAGAAGGGUCCGCAUGGGCACUUUCUGGAAAGUUUUUCGGUUGGGGAUGGGCUCGCGGCCUAUCAGCUUGUUGGUGAGGUAAUGGCUCACCAAGGCGACGACGGGUAGCCGGCCUGAGAGGGCGACCGGCCACACUGGGACUGCGACACGGCCCAGCCUCCUGCGGGGGGCGGCAGUGGGGAAUAUUGCACAGGGGGCGAAGGCCUGAUGCAGCGACGCCGCGGGGGGGAUGACGGCCUUCGGUUUGUAAACCUCUUUCAGCGGGGAAGAAGGGAAAGGGACGGUCCCUGAAAAAGAAGCCCCGGCUACCUCCGUG